UGAGGAUGAGAACCUCCGGGGGCAGGGAGGUUCGACUCGAGCGAAGCGAGAGAACGUUGCGCCAGCAACGGCCCGCAGGGCGAGCCACGAAGUGGCGAGUAAUCCUCUAUCACCGACCA
Molecule: small RNA, 119 nt
Filed under: Shigella flexneri
Lineage: Bacteria; Pseudomonadati; Pseudomonadota; Gammaproteobacteria; Enterobacterales; Enterobacteriaceae
Description: partial RtT sRNA
Rfam family: RtT RNA
About the family: This family represents a bacterial cis-regulatory element known as RtT RNA. The exact function of RtT is unknown although it is thought that it may be involved in changing the cellular response in relation to amino acid starvation.
Source: RNAcentral